CGGGGUAUAGCAUAUUCUUAAUGCCUUUUAAUUACGCUAAAAAUAAAACACAAGUUUGCCCCGCAA
This 66-nucleotide transfer RNA is filed under the name Tritogenia douglasi. RNAcentral's name for it is "tRNA-Val". The record is from RNAcentral. Lineage: Eukaryota; Metazoa; Annelida; Clitellata; Crassiclitellata; Microchaetidae.